CAGCAAAAUAGGUGGAAGGUGAUUUGAAUCACUCCAAAGUCAGGCUUGGAGUCCCAAGUCUGACCUGGAAAAUGGACUCUAGCUCUGCCUCUUAUCCCACACAUGUAUGUGUCUGUGUGAACAUGUGUGUGUGUUGGUGGUUUGGUUUGGUUUGUUUUCCUCUUAUGUACUUGGGAAGCAGUUGCUGAGGGUCUUGCAGAGCUCUGUUUCCUCCAGUGUAGCAUAGCAGCAGGUGCAGGGGUCCAAAGCUAUGGUGGCAAAAUGAAGAAUGAAAGGAAUAAAUUGCACACUAUCAUUUCAACCUGUAACCCAGUGAAUCAGACUGAAGGUAGGAUGUCUAUAUACCCUUCAUUUCAGGGGCCCCUAGAGAAUAUACCUUAGCUUUCCCUCUUCCGGCAUCCUGGAAAGUGGAUACCUGUGGCCUUCCUUUCACUUUGAAAGCUUACACCCUCAUUUUGACUACAACUAAUACUAAAAGCUUGGCAUCUUGCUUGAGAUCAGUGUUUGCUAUGCCAAACACCUUCUCCUCUUUCUAUUGAAAGCAAAACAUAGGAAAAUAAUUUGAAAUACUUUUAAGGCAUCUUAAAAACAUGACUUUCUCAUCUUAUGGAAAAGCAGACCAAUUUUGCUUUUUUUUCCCAACUUGUUCUCCAGACUGUGCCAAUAAAAUGUGUUCAUAGCAGGAAAAUUUGGAAAAUACAGAAAAGCACUAUGAAGAAAACAAAAUGUACCCAAAAUCCCAUCACUCAGAUAACGUCACUGUUAGUGUUUUGAUAUGUAUUUCCAGUCUUUUCUAUUGUGUUAAUUUUUCAUUUUGUUUUUGAAUAAAUAACUUUCAGGAAAGAAAUUGAGCCUUUUCUGCCACCUCUGAAGCCUGAUUACUGUGUGAAGCAGGCCAUGAAGGCCAUCCUCACUGACCAGCCCAUGAUCUGCACUCCCCGCCUCAUGUACAUCGUGACCUUCAUGAAGAGCAUCCUACCAUUUGAAGCAGUUGUGUGCAUGUAUCGGUUCCUAGGAGCGGACAAGUGUAUGUACCCCUUUAUUGCUCAAAGAAAGCAAGCCACAAACAAUAAUGAAGCAAAAAAUGGAAUCUAAGAAUCUUUUUGUAUGGAAUAUUACUUCUAUCAGAAGAUGAUCAAGAUGUUUCAGUCCAGUGCACAUCAGCAUUGCUGACAUUUUAUGGAUUCUAAACUUGUGUUGUUUCUUUUUUAAAUCAACUUUUUAAAAAAAUAAAGUGUAAAUUAACCGACUAGAGUACUUGGAAAAUGUGAUCAGUACAAGUGAACUUAGGUUGUUGCCAACAGGGUCCUUUUAGGCAGAACCCAGAAACCAGUCAAAUCUGUAGAGAAGCAGUGUGACAUCUUCAG
This 1367-nucleotide small RNA is filed under the name Pan troglodytes (chimpanzee). RNAcentral describes it as "retained intron". Lineage: Eukaryota; Metazoa; Chordata; Mammalia; Primates; Hominidae. The record is from RNAcentral.